UUCUCAGUUCGGACUGUAGGCUGCAACUCGCCUACACGAAGCUGGAAUCGCUAGUAAUCGCGGAUCAGCACGCCGCGGUGAAUACGUUCCCGGGCCUUGUACACACCGCCCGUCACACCAUGAGAGUCUGUAACACCCAAAGCCGGUGGGAUAACCUUUAUAGGAGUCAGCCGUCUAAGGUAGGACAGAUGAUUAGGGUGAAGUCGUAACAAGGUAAC
RNAcentral lists this ribosomal RNA (218 nucleotides) under uncultured bacterium. RNAcentral describes it as "partial 16S ribosomal RNA". It matches the Rfam family "Bacterial small subunit ribosomal RNA", at positions 1285 to 1500 of the family's 1533-position model. The record is from RNAcentral.